GAAACUUUAUUUUUACCAGGUAUGUUGCAGGUGGUCUGUUUUUCCUAUUUGUGAUAUGCGUACGCUAGUUUCUUUGUUUACUGGACAUUCAGCCAUAUAUUGUGCCGUGUGCUUUUUUUUCCUUUCCUUUUGUUUAAUUUCAGAGUUUUUCCCGACUUUGUUAAUUUGUGCCCUUUUCUGAACUUAUAACUAACAGAUUUGUAGAGCUCUUGCAUA
RNAcentral lists this unclassified non-coding RNA (216 nucleotides) under Hevea brasiliensis (rubber tree). The record is from RNAcentral. Lineage: Eukaryota; Viridiplantae; Streptophyta; Magnoliopsida; Malpighiales; Euphorbiaceae.